Molecule: ribosomal RNA, 900 nt
Filed under: uncultured archaeon
Lineage: Archaea
Description: bacterial SSU rRNA
Rfam family: Archaeal small subunit ribosomal RNA
Source: RNAcentral
GUGUCAGCAGCCGCGGUAAAACCAGCACCUCAAGUGGUCAGGAGGAUUAUUGGGCCUAAAGCAUCCGUAGCCGGCUUUGUAAGUUUUCGGUUAAAUCUAUAUGCUCAACAUAUAGGCUGCCGGGAAUACUGCAAAGCUAGGGAGUGGGAGAGGUAGACGGUACUCCGUAGGAAGGGGUAAAAUCCUUUGAUCUAUGGAUGACCACCUGUGGCGAAGGCGGUCUACCAGAACACGUCCGACGGUGAGGGAUGAAAGCUGGGGGAGCAAACCGGAUUAGAUACCCGGGUAGUCCCAGCUGUAAACUAUGCAAACUCAGUGAUGCAUUGGCUUGUGGCCAGUGCAGUGCCGCAGGGAAGCCGUUAAGUUUGCCGCCUGGGAAGUACGUACGCAAGUAUGAAACUUAAAGGAAUUGGCGGGGGAGCACCACAAGGGGUGAAGCCUGCGGUUCAAUUGGAGUCAACGCCAGAAAUCUUACCCGGAGAGACAGCAGGAUGAAGGUCAGGCUGAAGACUUUACCAGACAAGCUGAGAAGUGGUGCAUGGCCGUCGCCAGCUCGUGCCGUGAGAUGUCCUGUUAAGUCAGGUAACGAGCGAGAUCCUUGCCUCUAGUUGCCACCAUUACUCUCAGGAGUAGUGGGGCGAAUUAGCGGGACUGCCGUAGUUAAUACGGAGGAAGGAGAGGGCCACGGCAGGUCAGUAUGCCCUGAAACUCUGGGGCCACACGCGGGCUGCAAUGGUAGUGACAAUGGGUUCCGAAUCCGAAAGGAGGAGGUAAUCCUCAAACGCUACCACAGUUAUGACUGAGGGCUGCAACUCGCCCUCACGAAUAUGGAAUCCCUAGUAACUGCGUGUCAUUACCGCGCGGUGAAUACGUCCCUGCUCCUUGCACACACCGCCCGUC